This 1333-nucleotide ribosomal RNA is filed under the name uncultured bacterium. RNAcentral describes it as "bacterial SSU rRNA". It matches the Rfam family "Bacterial small subunit ribosomal RNA", at positions 28 to 1382 of the family's 1533-position model. The record is from RNAcentral.
GACGAACGCUGGCGGCGCGCCUAACACAUGCAAGUCGAACGAGCGAGAGAGAGCUUGCUUUCUCGAGCGAGUGGCGAACGGGUGAGUAACGCGUGAGGAACCUACCUCAAAGAGGGGGACAACAGUUGGAAACGACUGCUAAUACCGCAUAAGCCCACAGCUCGGCAUCGAGCAGAGGGAAAAGGAGCAAUCCGCUUUGAGAUGGCCUCGCGUCCGAUUAGCUAGUUGGUGAGGUAAUGGCCCACCAAGGCAACGAUCGGUAGCCGGACUGAGAGGUUGAACGGCCACAUUGGGACUGAGACACGGCCCAGACUCCUACGGGAGGCAGCAGUGGGGAAUAUUGCACAGUGGGGGAAACCCUGAUGCAGCGACGCCGCGUGGAGGAAGAAGGUCUUCGGAUUGUAAACUCCUGUUGUUGAGGAAGAUAAUGACGGUACUCAACAAGGAAGUGACGGCUAACUACGUGCCAGCAGCCGCGGUAAAACGUAGGUCACAAGCGUUGUCCGGAAUUACUGGGUGUAAAGGGAGCGCAGGCGGGAAGACAAGUUGGAAGUGAAAUCUAUGGGCUCAACCCAUAAACUGCUUUCAAAACUGUUUUUCUUGAGUAGUGCAGAGGUAGGCGGAAUUCCCGGUGUAGCGGUGGAAUGCGUAGAUAUCGGGAGGAACACCAGUGGCGAAGGCGGCCUACUGGGCACCAACUGACGCUGAGGCUCGAAAGUGUGGGUAGCAAACAGGAUUAGAUACCCUGGUAGUCCACACCGUAAACGAUGAUUACUAGGUGUUGGAGGAUUGACCCCUUCAGUGCCGCAGUUAACACGAUAAGUAAUCCACCUGGGGAGUACGACCGCAAGGUUGAAACUCAAAGGAAUUGACGGGGGCCCGCACAAGCAGUGGAGUAUGUGGUUUAAUUCGACGCAACGCGAAGAACCUUACCAAGUCUUGACAUCCCUUGACGAACAUAGAAAUAUGUUUUCUCUUCGGAGCAAGGAGACAGGUGGUGCAUGGUUGUCGUCAGCUCGUGUCGUGAGAUGUUGGGUUAAGUCCCGCAACGAGCGCAACCCUUACUGUCAGUUACUACGCAAGAGGACUCUGGCAGGACCGCCGUUGACAAAACGGAGGAAGGUGGGGAUGACGUCAAAUCAUCAUGCCCUUUAUGACUUGGGCUACACACGUACUACAAUGGCGUUAAACAAAGAGAAGCAAGACCGCGAGGUGGAGCAAAACUCAGAAACAACGUCCCAGUUCGGACUGCAGGCUGCAACUCGCCUGCACGAAGUCGGAAUUGCUAGUAAUCGUGGAUCAGCAUGCCACGGUGAAUACGUUCCCGGGCCUU